Molecule: ribosomal RNA, 424 nt
Filed under: Vibrio parahaemolyticus
Lineage: Bacteria; Pseudomonadati; Pseudomonadota; Gammaproteobacteria; Vibrionales; Vibrionaceae
Description: partial 23S ribosomal RNA
Rfam family: Bacterial large subunit ribosomal RNA
Source: RNAcentral
AAGGGUUCCUGUCCAACGUUAAUCGGGGCAGGGUAAGUCGACCCCUAAGGCGAGGCCGAAAGGCGUAGUCGAUGGGAAACGGGUUAAUAUUCCCGUACUUCUUACAAUUGCGAUGGGGGGACGGAGAAGGCUAGGUGGGCCUGGCGACGGUUGUCCAGGUUCAAGUGCGUAGGCUUAAGAGUUAGGUAAAUCCGGCUCUUUUUAAGGCUGAGACACGACGUCGAGCACCUACGGGUGUGAAGUCAUUGAUGCCAUGCUUCCAGGAAAAGCCUCUAAGCUUCAGAUUGUAAGGAAUCGUACCCCAAACCGACACAGGUGGUCGGGUAGAGAAUACCAAGGCGCUUGAGAGAACUCGGGUGAAGGAACUAGGCAAAAUGGUACCGUAACUUCGGGAGAAGGUACGCUCUCGACGGUGAAGUCCCUU